UCCUGAGAUUUUCAGAUACUGAUAGAAGGG
This 30-nucleotide non-coding RNA is filed under the name Mus musculus (house mouse). The record is from RNAcentral. Lineage: Eukaryota; Metazoa; Chordata; Mammalia; Rodentia; Muridae.